RNAcentral lists this ribosomal RNA (395 nucleotides) under uncultured bacterium. Its description in RNAcentral is "partial 16S ribosomal RNA". It matches the Rfam family "Bacterial small subunit ribosomal RNA", at positions 523 to 918 of the family's 1533-position model. The record is from RNAcentral.
AUACGUAGGGUGCGAGCGUUAAUCGGAAUUACUGGGCGUAAAGCGUGCGCAGGCGGUUUUGUAAGACAGUGGUGAAAUCCCCGGGCUCAAACUGGGAACUGCCAUUGUGACUGCAAGGCUGGAGUGCGGCAGAGGGGGAUGGAAUUCCGCGUGUAGCAGUGAAAUGCGUAGAUAUGCGGAGGAACACCGAUGGCGAAGGCAAUCCCCUGGGCCUGCACUGACGCUCAUGCACGAAAGCGUGGGGAGCAAACAGGAUUAGAUACCCUGGUAGUCCACGCCCUAAACGAUGUCAACUGGUUGUUGGGAAUUUAUUUUCUCAGUAACGAAGCUAACGCGUGAAGUUGACCGCCUGGGGAGUACGGCCGCAAGGUUAAAACUUAAAGGAAUUGACGGGG